Manis pentadactyla (Chinese pangolin) is the source of this 5008-nucleotide long non-coding RNA. RefSeq lists it as uncharacterized. The record is from RefSeq and is a predicted model, not a curated record. NCBI's taxonomy places the organism in Eukaryota, Metazoa, Chordata, Mammalia, Pholidota, Manidae. The transcript has 4 exons.
ACACAGAUUCCUCCCCAGAGCUUCCAGGAGGCACACAGACCCACCUACACCUUGAUUUCAGCCCAGGGAAACCCACUAAGACUUCCAGCCUCCAAAAGUGUAAGAAUAAAUUUGUGUCAUUUUAAGCCACUAAAUUUAUGGUGAUUUGUUACAGCAGUGAUAGAAAGUUAAUGUGUGCCUCUUUACCUCUCCUUCCCACUGCUAUGUAGUUAUGGUUUUGAAGAAUAUGCUUGAAAACUAAUUUGCCACCCCCUGAUUACCACGUAGAUACAAAAAUAAAUAAUCCGGAAAGUUACAGUAAAACCAAGUCCCUUUCAUUCAAUAAUGAAAGCUGUAGAGACUUGAUCAAGCUGGACUCCGGUGGACACAAGAAAAUAAACAACCGAGUCUUUCACUUAUCCUCACCCUCUUCUGCCCCUUCUGUAACAUUAUCAUACUUUCCUAGGUGAAAUGCUGGGCCUAUCCUAGAGCUUUUGUGGUCAGUUUCAGGUAUUUAUAACACCUCACUUUUAGGUAUGGAUAGUCCAGUCUGGUCUCACAUCCAAGCUUUAGUCACUCAUGGAAUAUCAAGCUUUUUCCCACCCUAACUUGGGCCUGAAGAAGUCCCUGAAGCCUGCAUAAGUGCAGAGGGUGCGCUGGGGUCAAAGGUGGUCAGCAUCCUGACUAGCUUCCUACCUGGAUCUUCCCCUUGCUUUGCUGGCUCUGGUUCCUUCAAGGUGGGGAGGUCAGAGGCAGGUGACUCAGAGAGUGAGAUGGCCAAAUGAUAGCUCUUUACUCUGGGAGCACUGGGAUGCCUCCAACCACUUAGUUCUCCAGCAAAGUGUCCCAAUCAUCGGCUGCCUCCUAACAACCCUCCCCCGGCUCCUCCACCAACGGCACACCCUGUAAAGAGGCCAGUUUUCUGUUACGAGCACCUCACUCCCUUCUCUUGGGGGUGCGGGGGGGUCUCUGUCGUGGUUAUGCCUUCCACAGUCUCCACUUGACUGAUGCUGAUGGCACCUCUUUGUUUUGCCUAGCACUGCAAGUGCAUGCCACCCUCCUUCAGCCCUUCCUCUCCACUCACCUGUCCCAGGCAGCUCCAGCCAGAGUCUCACCUUUUGCUUUUUCCAGGGAAGUUCCAUUCUGAGCUGUCCUAGGCCAAUUUGGCCAGGCAUGACCACUGGUUGGUGAAAGGUAAUAGCUACUAAUAUUCAGAGGUAGUGAGAGUUGAUUAUUCCUGCACAACUCUCCUUUUAGGUUAUUAUGAAAGCUCUUUGCAUUUGCACAAAAAAACGCUCUUAAAGGAAACCCUGUUAUAUCAUAGAGGUAGGAGUCAAAUAAGCUAUAAGGUUAGUAUAAGACAACCAGAUUCUUCUGAAGUAAUUGCUAACUACAGGACCAUGCAGGGGUCAGGCCUCCAGUGCCACUAGGGUACAGGCUACAGGUCCCUAGACCCAUGCCUGUGGCAUUGCUCAAAGAUAAAGUAUCCCUGUGGUAGCUCCCUCUGGUGUGGCAAUUAGUACGGGUAAGGGUAUAGCUUAACAGGCACACACAGUACCCCCCUGCCUAGGCUGGGGCUUUGGAGGCUACUAUCCCCAUUUUACAGAUGUAUGAGACACCAGGUGAAGUUACAUAAUCAGUCCAGGGUCAUGCACCUAGCAGCUGGGAUUUGAACUCAACACGGUGCUCUCAGAGUCUCUGCAUGAAGCCUGUACUAUGGGGCCCUGUGUCUUCCAUCCACGGGAGCAUUUUAACAGUUUUGCUCUCUGUGAGCAGUAUUCGUGACAAACAUGAAAUGAGCCUCAUCAGCUAUCAAACUGGGUUAAAAUCCAGGAUUUACCCCUUAAUAGUGAUGUAACUUGAACAAGUCCUUUAGCCCUGUUUCUCAUCUGGAAGAUGAGAAUAAAUGUGCCUACCUCAGAGGCCUGCUAAGAAGGCUAAAAGAUUUGCCAAGUACUCCAUAUAGUGCCUGACACUUAGCUGAGGUUUAAAAAAUGUUCAUCCCGCUUCUGCUCCACCAGCCUUUCCUCUAAGGGUCCUCAGAACCCAAGGAGUUUGUCCCAGUUGCAUCUUGUGUGACUUUGCAAAUACGCCUUUCACAGUUGGCAGACAUCUUUGACUGAAUGAAUAAAUUCUGGGGAAAUGAGAAAGUUUUCGUUCUCUGUGAAAGGAAGCACAGAUGUUAGGCUUUGUUGCACAAUGGGUUGAACAAUCAUGCAACUGGAAAUUGAGGAACUCUGUGCUCCAAUUUGAGGGAAAAUAAAGAAUGAUUCCCAAGCUGUGGUGUCCCAGCAUAUCCCAGAGCAGCUGUGGGGCACCCACAGCCACAAGGUGUGCUGCAAGUCAGUUGUUACUAAUAAAAAAAAGUACUGAAGCUUGUGAGUGACUCACUCAGAGCAGUAACACAUUUGACUAGAUAUGCUUUCCAGAGGGGAGAGAGAGGGGCAGAGCCUAGCUUGCAAGAAUCAUACACAAUUCUAGAUAGGCCUUUGGGAAUCUUGCAAGUAAAUGUCACCUGGACAGAUGCCAAAACUAAAAACGACUGCAUACUCUGGUUAAGACAGAUUGAAAGAACAUUUUGAGGCAAUCUGGAAUAACUAAUUUUUAUAUCCUCUUACCUCUGUUAAGUUUUGAGAGGAAUCAUAAAAGAAGAUAGAGGUGCCUUCCACAAAAAUGGGGUAUCUGUGGUUCUAAUAUUUUCCUUCAAAAAGCAUAUAUGAGUAUUUGUGUAACGAAAGUCAAUCAAAAGGGAGCUGCACGGUGCUCCGACGACUUUGUCCUAAUCCCCAGGGUGCCACUUUGCUCCUGAAGAAAGGCCCGGCCUUGUCUGAAAACUUGGAAGGGCCCAUCUUGGGUUAAGCAGGAAGGGUGGAGACACAAUUUCAGAGGUAAGGGUUAGAGGCCAUGUCCCCUGCCCUCUCGUUCUAUGACCAGUGAUGAGCAGCUAGAACCACAGGCCUCUGACAAUUUCAGCCAUGCCACACACUGACAGACGGCCCUCUCAGUUAAUUUCACUGCCUCAUCCUCUGUUCCCCAGUCCAGCCCAGCUUCAGAUCUGGUCUGCCUAGGAAGAGUGUUCAGAGAAUAUCAAGCUUGGGAGUUUCUUCUCAAAGGGGUCCUUGACCUCUGAGCACAGGCUCAGCUCAAAUCGGUCAGCCUGCCUGGGGCUCUCUGGCUAAGAUGGGGACUCUCUGGCCACAUGGGUGGAGCAGCAAGACCUCAGAGGCUGAUUCUGCUUUCUGCUCAUCCAGUUACCUUAGCAACAGGAAACAAGAGAAGGCAAAGCAGCCGCUACCACAGGCCGGAUCCAUUCACUGAGAGGCACAGGGAGUGCGGGGUGGUCAGGGGACCAGGGUUCCUGCCAGGGCACUGCUGGCCGCCGGCUGGCUGCUCUCUACAAGCUGCUUCCCUGGGCCUGAUGUAGAUGGGAUGGGGGCCAAGGCUCUCUGGAUGGCUCAAGGAGGCUGUCAAGGAGCAGAGUCCCUUCCUUCCCUGGGGAGGAGACCCUACUGUUUCUGCUCUGGGCUUCAGGCACAGGAAAUGCCCCAGGGCAACUAUCUGCCAGCUAGCCUUAUGUGACUUUGCCACUUGCCACCUGUGGUGCAGAAAUGUUCGCUGAUCCAGCAGAUGACUGAGCUCCAAGGAGGCUGGCCCUGGCAGCACUGGCCUACCAAGCCAUUCAGUGAGGCAGGCAGAGCAGAUACAAUGACGUCCAUGUUUCAGUGGGGGGACACAGAGGCCCAGGGAGGCCAAAGACCCUGGGGUCCCUUGGAUAAUGGCUGAGCCGGACCUGGACCUCUGUCCUCUACCUCCUGGCUUCAGAGCCUUUACAUUGGACAUGAGUACUACGAAACAGAAGCAUUCUCCAACCCUGUUUGUGGCCAUGAUUCUUGGACUUAACCCACGUCAGACACCUUUCUGAUGAAGAAAGAAAACCAGAAUGCAUUCACUCAACAAGUGAUUGCCUUGAGUGCCUACUAUGAGCCACGCUCUGGGCUAGGCACUGAGGAUUCAACAGCGAAUAUGAUGUGGUCUCUACAUCCAAGCAGCUCCCUGCACUUGCAUAAUUAAAUCUCCCAUGUUGACAUCGGAUAGAAUCCACACCCGUGAGAUCCCCAAAGUGGCCCCUCCUACCCUGCGGCCAUCUUCAUGUCCCAACAGAAUUCCUCGGGGCCUGCGUCUGUGGUAGGAGAAGACACACUUCUCCUGAGCAAGGAGCCAAGCUGAACUCCGUAGGCAGACGCUGAAGCCACCCCGGCUCUGGGGUGCAGCCUGGGCUCUGGGGAGUGGAGAGAGGCCCCUUGGCUCGGGGAGGAGACGCUUCCAUGACGGCGGCCGGGAGCAGCCUCCAGGACAGGGGCUGAGAAGCUGCCAGGGAAUUGGAGAGCAGCCUUGGGAAGAGCUGCCAAGGGCUGUUGGAAGGUAACCUGAAGCCCAUUCUUUUAACUCUCAGGGUCAUUGACAUCCUGUUUCCACAGAUGGACAGUUGGGGGCCACACUCCACCCACAGAAAAUUAUUUUCUGAAUUGGUACUCAGAAUCUUAAAGGCAGAUGCCUAGAGGUCCAAGCCAGCCUGGCCACAGGCAUCCUGUCACUAAAGCUUGAGGAAAACUGCCAUUGUACCUCUGUCCCUGUACUGGGUCUACCAUGCCCUAUUCUAUGAACAGAAAAAGCAUUUAUCAGCCUUUUACACUCUUUUAAUGUAGCUUUUAUCUGCUUGGUGAGAUGGCAGUGAGGUGAAAAUUUUCCACAUUAAAAACCCAACUUUUCCAGGCCAAAAUGCAGUUCCAUAUUCUUACCUCACAGAGAACAACCUCUAACUCAGAUUUCUGCUGUCUUCUGCGGAAUCUGUAGCCCCAGCACAUACUGUGGGUUAAACCUGGCAGACCAAAGCAAGUGAAAGGGGGGCAGAAAAACCCACAGCUGAGUGAGUUCAUGAGACAAACAGGAACAUUAAAAGGCAAAUUCGGGCCCACGUGGUUUCAGUUUUAAUGUACAGGGACAUAAUCCACAACAGAGGAAAAGAUAU